This 77-nucleotide transfer RNA is filed under the name Bacillus velezensis YAU B9601-Y2. Its description in RNAcentral is "tRNA-Asn". It matches the Rfam family "tRNA". Rfam says of the family: Transfer RNA (tRNA) molecules are approximately 80 nucleotides in length. Lineage: Bacteria; Bacillati; Bacillota; Bacilli; Caryophanales; Bacillaceae. The record is from RNAcentral.
UCCACAGUAGCUCAGUGGUAGAGCUAUCGGCUGUUAACCGAUCGGUCGCAGGUUCGAAUCCUGCCUGUGGAGCCAUA